This 274-nucleotide ribosomal RNA is filed under the name uncultured bacterium. RNAcentral's name for it is "partial 16S ribosomal RNA". It matches the Rfam family "Archaeal small subunit ribosomal RNA", at positions 473 to 747 of the family's 1478-position model. The record is from RNAcentral.
AAACCAGCACCUCAAGUGGUCAGGAUGAUUAUUGGGCCUAAAGCAUCCGUAGCCGGCUCUGUAAGUUUUCGGUUAAAUCUGUAUGCUCAACAUACAGGCCGCCGGGAAUACUGCAGAGCUAGGGAGUGGGAGAGGUAGACGGUACUCGGGAGGAAGUGGUAAAAUGCUUUGAUCUCUCGAUGACCACCUGUGGCGAAGGCGGUCUACCAGAACACGUCCGACGGUGAGGGAUGAAAGCUGGGGGAGCAAACCGGAUUAGAAACCCGGGUAGUCC